GGGAGUGUUUUGGUUUCGACAGGGUUUUGGAACAAGAAUAAGCAUGUGGAAGGGCAUACUUCCUAAAAAUAGCAAAUUAAAUUUAAACGCAGAAGAUAAUAACUUCGCUUUUGCAGCUUAAUUGCUGCUUAAUGCUACUUAGUAGAACCUACGGCUACUAACUAGUAUCAUUAUUUAGUAGGAAACCUAUUUAACAAAGCUUUGAGUUAAAUACGGACUUUAUGAAGCUACCAAUUUAGAAGUUUUGUUAAUUAACGCCUAAAUCGGAAAUUCAAAAAAUUAACUAAACAUGUAGAAAUUUCUUCGGAAGAUUCUUUGGACGCGAGUUCGAAUCUCGCCACUUCCACCA
This 349-nucleotide transfer-messenger RNA is filed under the name Peptoniphilaceae. Its description in RNAcentral is "Helcococcus sp023442495 Standard tmRNA". It matches the Rfam family "transfer-messenger RNA". From Rfam's summary of the family: Bacterial tmRNA, also known as 10Sa RNA or SsrA, is named for its dual tRNA and mRNA-like properties. Its role is to liberate the mRNA from a stalled ribosome. The record is from RNAcentral. Lineage: Bacteria; Bacillati; Bacillota; Tissierellia; Tissierellales. RNAcentral also lists the same sequence under 1 other name.